Long non-coding RNA from Toxotes jaculatrix (banded archerfish), 128 nucleotides. RefSeq lists it as uncharacterized. The transcript has 3 exons. NCBI's taxonomy places the organism in Eukaryota, Metazoa, Chordata, Actinopteri, Toxotidae. The record is from RefSeq and is a predicted model, not a curated record.
GUUCAGGGGGUCAAAUUAGCUGACAAAGCUGCGGAAGAAAAAUAAAAGAGGAGAAUAAUAAUAAUCCCUUCAGUUACAAUAAGGCUUCGCACAAAUUUCGUGCUCGAGUAAUAAUCAGCUCUGCCAUC